CCCUUAGAUGUCCGGGGCCGCACGCGCGCUACACUGAAGGAAUCAGCGUGGCUUUCUCCCUGACCCGAAAGGGUUGGGAAACCCGUUGAAUCUCCUUCGUGAUAGGGAUUGGGGCUUGAAAUUGUUCCCCAUGAACGAGGAAUUACCAGUAAGCGCGAGUCAUAAGCUCGCGUUGAUUACGUCCCUGCCCUUUGUACACACCGCCCGUCGCUACUACCGAUUGAACGGUUUAGUGAGGGCCUCGGAUUGGUCUCGGCCCGCUCUUUACCGGGCGGCGCCGUUGGUCGAGAAGACGCUCGAACUUGAUCGUUUAGAGGAAGUAAAAGUCGUAACA
RNAcentral lists this ribosomal RNA (334 nucleotides) under uncultured eukaryote. RNAcentral's name for it is "partial 18S ribosomal RNA". It matches the Rfam family "Eukaryotic small subunit ribosomal RNA", at positions 1470 to 1796 of the family's 1831-position model. The record is from RNAcentral.